GCAGUGGUGGUUCAUUGGUAGAAUCCCCGCCUUCCAUGCGGGAGACUUGGGUUCAAUUUCCAGCUAAUGCA
Loxodonta africana (African savanna elephant) is the source of this 71-nucleotide transfer RNA. It matches the Rfam family "tRNA". Rfam says of the family: Transfer RNA (tRNA) molecules are approximately 80 nucleotides in length. Their secondary structure includes four short double-helical elements and three loops (D, anti-codon, and T loops). Lineage: Eukaryota; Metazoa; Chordata; Mammalia; Proboscidea; Elephantidae. The record is from Rfam.